AAGGACUUGAGCAUAAGCAGUUGUGGGUGUGUGCUGACACAGGCAUCAUUACUACCUUUGUCUCCAUGUGAUAGUGGUGGAAUAUGCUAUACAAAUCUAUGAAAACGAUUUGACCUUGCUGAAAUCAAUUAAAAUCAGAGGCAACAUUUGCAAUGGCUGCAGGAGAGCUAGGAGUCUUCUACAUCUUCUACUUGGGUGCAAUUGGAGUGAGAGACCAACUCAUUUGGCUCCCACACCUAGAAAGAUGGGCUGGUAUGUAAGCUGUGAAAUGAGCAAGGCAGAUUGUCAACUAGUAAAGUACACAUGGAUAUGUAUACACAUAUUCUUACACAGUGCAGGAAAAUCAGGAAAAGGAUUUGCAACCAUUGAACUUUUAGUAAGUAUUGCAUCAUGUAUUCUAAGUACUGGUUCAAAAAAAAAAAAAAAAACUUGAGCAUAGUCAUUCCUGUGCUUCUUAUCAAA
This 462-nucleotide long non-coding RNA is filed under the name Numida meleagris (helmeted guineafowl). RNAcentral describes it as "lncRNA (ENSNMEG00000021225.1)". The record is from RNAcentral. Lineage: Eukaryota; Metazoa; Chordata; Aves; Galliformes; Numididae.